This 538-nucleotide ribosomal RNA is filed under the name uncultured bacterium. Its description in RNAcentral is "bacterial SSU rRNA". It matches the Rfam family "Bacterial small subunit ribosomal RNA", at positions 355 to 895 of the family's 1533-position model. The record is from RNAcentral.
UGAGGAAUAUUGGUCAAUGGGCGAGAGCCUGAACCAGCCAAGUAGCGUGCAGGAUGACGGCCCUAUGGGUUGUAAACUGCUUUUGUAUGGGGAUAAAGUCAAUCACGUGUGAUUGUUUGCAGGUACCAUACGAAUAAGGACCGGCUAAUUCCGUGCCAGCAGCCGCGGUAAUACGGAAGGUCCGGGCGUUAUCCGGAUUUAUUGGGUUUAAAGGGAGCGUAGGCUGGAGAUUAAGUGUGUUGUGAAAUGUAGACGCUCAACGUCUGACUUGCAGCGCGUACUGGUUUCCUUGAGUACGCACAACGUUGGCGGAAUUCGUCGUGUAGCGGUGAAAUGCUUAGAUAUGACGAAGAACUCCGAUUGCGAAGGCAGCUGACGGGAGCGCAACUGACGCUGAAGCUCGAAGGUGCGGGUAUCGAACAGGAUUAGAUACCCUGGUAGUCCGCACAGUAAACGAUGGAUGCCCGCUGUUGGUACGUGGUAUCAGCGGCUAAGCGAAAGCAUUAAGCAUCCCACCUGGGGAGUACGCCGGCACGGU